CGUUUGUUGUGUGUUUCCCGUUUCUGUGUAUGUUUUCUUUACUAAAGCUGGACAGUGAAGCCUGUUGCCUGAGAGCACAUUCACAUCACGGUUGCCGUGGACUCUUAACUCAGGGAAAGCUAAAAGAAUUCACCCAAAAGAAAAGGUGACAUUUCCAUUUUGUACAGUCUGCUAAAAAUGCCACACCAGCUAGAGUUUUAAUCCAUGUCGGAGAAAGAGAAAUUAAUGAGAUCAAUAAAGCAAUCUACUAUAUCCUCACUGCCCCUUCUCAAACAUAAAAGGAGACUGUGUUUCUCAUUGGUUCAUUUUAUUUUUUACGUGUACUAGUUGUGGUGGAAAGAAGAAUGAUCUUCCCAGAGAUAUCGUCAUCCUUGUCUUUGGUAUCUCUGAAAUGUUCCCUUACUGGGCAGAGGAAUUUGUAGACACAACUGAAGGUAAAAACCUUGCGAUGGGGAGAUUAUCCUGGAUUACACAGGCGACUACAACAUAAUCAUAUGAAGCCUUAAGAGUUAAAGAGAAAAGCAGAAGAGAGAGUCAGAGAGAUGUGACCUGAGGUGUUGACCUGCUGUUGCCGAUUUCGAAGAUGGAAAAUGGAGGGUUCAAGCCAAGGUGUGUAGUCAGCCCCUAGAAGCUAGAAAAGGGAAGGCGACAGAUUCUCCCCUAAAGCUUCCCUGAAGACACAU
This 683-nucleotide long non-coding RNA is filed under the name Sus scrofa (pig). RNAcentral's name for it is "lncRNA (ENSSSCG00035035147.1)". Lineage: Eukaryota; Metazoa; Chordata; Mammalia; Artiodactyla; Suidae. The record is from RNAcentral.